GAUGAACGCUGGCGGCGUGCUUAACACAUGCAAGUCGAACGGAAAGGCCCAAGCUUGCUUGGGUACUCGAGUGGCGAACGGGUGAGUAACACGUGGGUGAUCUGCCCUGCACUUCGGGAUAAGCCUGGGAAACUGGGUCUAAUACUGGAUAGGACCACUUCUUGGAUGGUGUGGUGGAAAGUUUUUUCGGUGUGGGAUGAGCUCGCGGCCUAUCAGCUUGUUGGUGGGGUAAUGGCCUACCAAGGCGUCGACGGGUAGCCGGCCUGAGAGGGUGUACGGCCACAUUGGGACUGAGAUACGGCCCAGACUCCUACGGGAGGCAGAAGUGGGGAAUAUUGCACAAUGGGCGCAAGCCUGAUGCAGCGACGCCGCGUGGGGGAUGACGGCCUUCGGGUUGUAAACUCCUUUCGCUAGGGACGAAGCGUUUUUGUGACGGUACCUGGAGAAGAAGCACCGGCUAACUACGUG
Molecule: ribosomal RNA, 468 nt
Filed under: uncultured bacterium
Lineage: Bacteria
Description: partial 16S ribosomal RNA
Rfam family: Bacterial small subunit ribosomal RNA
Source: RNAcentral